AACGCUGGCGGCGUGCCUAACACAUGCAAGUCGCACGAGAAAGGGGCUUCGGCCCUGAGUAAAGUGGCGCACGGGUGAGUAACACGUGAAUGAUCUACCUCCGAGUGGGGAAUAACCUAGGGAAACCUGGGCUAAUACCGCAUAACACUUACGAGUCAAAGCAGCAAUGCGCUUGGAGAGGAGUUCGCGGCAGAUUAGCUAGUUGGUGAGGUAAUGGCUCACCAAGGCGAUGAUCUGUAUCCGGCCUGAGAGGGCGCACGGACACACUGGAACUGAAACACGGUCCAGACUCCUACGGGAGGCAGCAGUGGGGAAUUUUGCGCAAUGGGGGAAACCCUGACGCAGCAACGCCGCGUGGAGGAUGAAAUCCCUUGGGAUGUAAACUCCUUUCGAUCGGGAAGAUAAUGACGGUACCGAGAGAAGAAGCCCCGGCUAACUUCGUGCCAGCAGCCGCGGUAAUACGAGGGGGGCAAGCGUUGUUCGGAAUUAUUGGGCGUAAAGGGUGCGUAGGCGGUUUGAUAAGUUUGAUGUGAAAUCUCUGGGCUCAACCCAGAGUCUGCAUCGAAAACUGUCGGGCUUGAGUAUGGGAGAGGUGAGUGGAAUUUCCGGUGUAGCGGUGAAAUGCGUAGAUAUCGGAAGGAACACCUGUGGCGAAAGCGGCUCACUGGACCAUUACUGACGCUGAUGCACGAAAGCUAGGGGAGCAAACAG
Molecule: ribosomal RNA, 711 nt
Filed under: uncultured Acidobacteriota bacterium
Lineage: Bacteria; Pseudomonadati; Acidobacteriota
Description: bacterial SSU rRNA
Rfam family: Bacterial small subunit ribosomal RNA
Source: RNAcentral